RNAcentral lists this ribosomal RNA (2416 nucleotides) under Escherichia coli. Its description in RNAcentral is "partial 23S ribosomal RNA". It matches the Rfam family "Bacterial large subunit ribosomal RNA", at positions 529 to 2925 of the family's 2925-position model. Lineage: Bacteria; Pseudomonadati; Pseudomonadota; Gammaproteobacteria; Enterobacterales; Enterobacteriaceae. The record is from RNAcentral.
GCGAGGGGAGUGAAAAAGAACCUGAAACCGUGUACGUACAAGCAGUGGGAGCACGCUUAGGCGUGUGACUGCGUACCUUUUGUAUAAUGGGUCAGCGACUUAUAUUCUGUAGCAAGGUUAACCGAAUAGGGGAGCCGAAGGGAAACCGAGUCUUAACUGGGCGUUAAGUUGCAGGGUAUAGACCCGAAACCCGGUGAUCUAGCCAUGGGCAGGUUGAAGGUUGGGUAACACUAACUGGAGGACCGAACCGACUAAUGUUGAAAAAUUAGCGGAUGACUUGUGGCUGGGGGUGAAAGGCCAAUCAAACCGGGAGAUAGCUGGUUCUCCCCGAAAGCUAUUUAGGUAGCGCCUCGUGAAUUCAUCUCCGGGGGUAGAGCACUGUUUCGGCAAGGGGGUCAUCCCGACUUACCAACCCGAUGCAAACUGCGAAUACCGGAGAAUGUUAUCACGGGAGACACACGGCGGGUGCUAACGUCCGUCGUGAAGAGGGAAACAACCCAGACCGCCAGCUAAGGUCCCAAAGUCAUGGUUAAGUGGGAAACGAUGUGGGAAGGCCCAGACAGCCAGGAUGUUGGCUUAGAAGCAGCCAUCAUUUAAAGAAAGCGUAAUAGCUCACUGGUCGAGUCGGCCUGCGCGGAAGAUGUAACGGGGCUAAACCAUGCACCGAAGCUGCGGCAGCGACGCUUAUGCGUUGUUGGGUAGGGGAGCGUUCUGUAAGCCUGUGAAGGUGUACUGUGAGGUAUGCUGGAGGUAUCAGAAGUGCGAAUGCUGACAUAAGUAACGAUAAAGCGGGUGAAAAGCCCGCUCGCCGGAAGACCAAGGGUUCCUGUCCAACGUUAAUCGGGGCAGGGUGAGUCGACCCCUAAGGCGAGGCCGAAAGGCGUAGUCGAUGGGAAACAGGUUAAUAUUCCUGUACUUGGUGUUACUGCGAAGGGGGGACGGAGAAGGCUAUGUUGGCCGGGCGACGGUUGUCCCGGUUUAAGCGUGUAGGCUGGUUUUCCAGGCAAAUCCGGAAAAUCAAGGCUGAGGCGUGAUGACGAGGCACUACGGUGCUGAAGCAACAAAUGCCCUGCUUCCAGGAAAAGCCUCUAAGCAUCAGGUAACAUCAAAUCGUACCCCAAACCGACACAGGUGGUCAGGUAGAGAAUACCAAGGCGCUUGAGAGAACUCGGGUGAAGGAACUAGGCAAAAUGGUGCCGUAACUUCGGGAGAAGGCACGCUGAUAUGUAGGUGAAGCGACUUGCUCGUGGAGCUGAAAUCAGUCGAAGAUACCAGCUGGCUGCAACUGUUUAUUAAAAACACAGCACUGUGCAAACACGAAAGUGGACGUAUACGGUGUGACGCCUGCCCGGUGCCGGAAGGUUAAUUGAUGGGGUCAGCGCAAGCGAAGCUCUUGAUCGAAGCCCCGGUAAACGGCGGCCGUAACUAUAACGGUCCUAAGGUAGCGAAAUUCCUUGUCGGGUAAGUUCCGACCUGCACGAAUGGCGUAAUGAUGGCCAGGCUGUCUCCACCCGAGACUCAGUGAAAUUGAACUCGCUGUGAAGAUGCAGUGUACCCGCGGCAAGACGGAAAGACCCCGUGAACCUUUACUAUAGCUUGACACUGAACAUUGAGCCUUGAUGUGUAGGAUAGGUGGGAGGCUUUGAAGUGUGGACGCCAGUCUGCAUGGAGCCGACCUUGAAAUACCACCCUUUAAUGUUUGAUGUUCUAACGUUGACCCGUAAUCCGGGUUGCGGACAGUGUCUGGUGGGUAGUUUGACUGGGGCGGUCUCCUCCUAAAGAGUAACGGAGGAGCACGAAGGUUGGCUAAUCCUGGUCGGACAUCAGGAGGUUAGUGCAAUGGCAUAAGCCAGCUUGACUGCGAGCGUGACGGCGCGAGCAGGUGCGAAAGCAGGUCAUAGUGAUCCGGUGGUUCUGAAUGGAAGGGCCAUCGCUCAACGGAUAAAAGGUACUCCGGGGAUAACAGGCUGAUACCGCCCAAGAGUUCAUAUCGACGGCGGUGUUUGGCACCUCGAUGUCGGCUCAUCACAUCCUGGGGCUGAAGUAGGUCCCAAGGGUAUGGCUGUUCGCCAUUUAAAGUGGUACGCGAGCUGGGUUUAGAACGUCGUGAGACAGUUCGGUCCCUAUCUGCCGUGGGCGCUGGAGAACUGAGGGGGGCUGCUCCUAGUACGAGAGGACCGGAGUGGACGCAUCACUGGUGUUCGGGUUGUCAUGCCAAUGGCACUGCCCGGUAGCUAAAUGCGGAAGAGAUAAGUGCUGAAAGCAUCUAAGCACGAAACUUGCCCCGAGAUGAGUUCUCCCUGACCCUUUAAGGGUCCUGAAGGAACGUUGAAGACGACGACGUUGAUAGGCCGGGUGUGUAAGCGCAGCGAUGCGUUGAGCUAACCGGUACUAAUGAACCGUGAGGCUUAACCUU